GAUGAAUGCUGGCGGCGUGCCUAAUACAUGCAAGUCGAGCGAACGGACGAGAAGCUUGCUUCUCUGAUGUUAGCGGCGGACGGGUGAGUAACACGUGGAUAACCUACCUAUAAGACUGGGAUAACUUCGGGAAACCGGAGCUAAUACCGGAUGAUAUUUUGAACCGCAUGGUUCAAAAGUGAAAGACGGUCUUGCUGUCACUUAUAGAUGGAUCCGCGCUGCAUUAGCUAGUUGGUAAGGUAACGGCUUACCAAGGCAACGAUGCAUAGCCGACCUGAGAGGGUGAUCGGCCACACGGGAACGAAGACGCGGACCAGACUCCUGAGGGAGGCAGCAGUAGGGAAUCUUCGAGAAUGGGCGAUAGCCUGACUUAGCAAAGCCGCGUGAGUGAUGAAGGUCUUCAGAUCGUAAAACUAUAUUAUUAGGGAGGAACAUAUGUGCAAGUAACUGUGCACAUCUUGACGGUACCUAAUCAGAAAGCCACGGCUAACUACGUG
RNAcentral lists this ribosomal RNA (497 nucleotides) under uncultured bacterium. Its description in RNAcentral is "partial 16S ribosomal RNA". It matches the Rfam family "Bacterial small subunit ribosomal RNA", at positions 28 to 507 of the family's 1533-position model. The record is from RNAcentral.